RNAcentral lists this ribosomal RNA (449 nucleotides) under uncultured bacterium. RNAcentral's name for it is "partial 16S ribosomal RNA". It matches the Rfam family "Bacterial small subunit ribosomal RNA", at positions 29 to 523 of the family's 1533-position model. The record is from RNAcentral.
AGCGAACGCUGGCGGCAGGCCUAACACAUGCAAGUCGAACGGAUCCUUCGGGAUUAGUGGCGGACGGGUGAGUAACACGUGGGAACGUGCCCUUUGGUUCGGAACAACUCAGGGAAACUUGAGCUAAUACCGGAUGUGCCCUUCGGGGGAAAGAUUUAUCGCCAUUGGAGCGGCCCGCGUCUGAUUAGCUAGUUGGUGAGGUAAAGGCUCACCAAGGCGACGAUCAGUAGCUGGUCUGAGAGGAUGAUCAGCCACACUGGGACUGAGACACGGCCCAGACUCCUACGGGAGGCAGCAGUGGGGAAUCUUGCGCAAUGGGCGAAAGCCUGACGCAGCCAUGCCGCGUGAAUGAUGAAGGUCUUAGGAUUGUAAAAUUCUUUCACCGGGGACGAUAAUGACGGUACCCGGAGAAGAAGCUCCGGCUAACUUCGUGCCAGCAGCCGCCGUAA